RNAcentral lists this long non-coding RNA (427 nucleotides) under Elaeis guineensis (African oil palm). Its description in RNAcentral is "long non-coding RNA (EGUI_LNC032636)". Lineage: Eukaryota; Viridiplantae; Streptophyta; Magnoliopsida; Arecales; Arecaceae. The record is from RNAcentral.
AGUUCAUAAUUUAUAGAUCUGCUGAUGAUAUCUAUAGGCUUAGCAUGUUUUCUGCAUGCAACAUCAGUAUUUGAGAAUAAAAAUCAUAUGGGGUGGGCACUAUAAAAGAUCAUACGAGGUAGGCUUCACAAUGUGCCAUGUAUCUCUUAAUACUAAUCUUAAAGUAUGAGUCUAAAAGUCAAGGAUUUUUCUAUUGAUGGAGUUAUUAAUCUCGUGAUUAAAGCACUCUUUCUUUCUCGUUUUCAGUACAUAACAAUACAUACUAUAUGAUCAUAUAAUAUCAUUAAAUAUAUAAUUAGGUGAUACAUACUGUAAGCUUUUUUGAUACACACCAAGCAACGAUUUAAUAUACACCUACAGCUAAAUUGAUACAUAGUUUAUUGAACUUAUUAUUCACCAGUACACAGUAUAUGACUAGUUAAUACAC